RNAcentral lists this unclassified non-coding RNA (272 nucleotides) under Hevea brasiliensis (rubber tree). The record is from RNAcentral. Lineage: Eukaryota; Viridiplantae; Streptophyta; Magnoliopsida; Malpighiales; Euphorbiaceae.
GUUUGAUUGCAAUAUUAAACUGAUAGUAUGUGUUUAUACCAAACAUAUAUCAGUGUUUUCACAUCUUAAUUGUUAAAGUUCAGAAAAUCAUUUUCCUUAUGGCUUAGUUUUCCUUUGACUAGAAAAAUAGUCUAUUGACCCAUUUUCCUGAACAUUCUAAAUACUAGAAAAUGCAAAAAAAAAUUCAGAAAAAUAUUUUAUGUGACAUAAACGAAGCAUUAAAUUUUAGUCUUAAAACUCAUAAAAAAUACAGUUUUUUCUUUAUAUUAUUU